CGUGUAGCAGUGAAAUGCGUAGAGAUGUGGAGGAACACCGAUGGCGAAGGCAGCCCCCUGGGAUGACACUGACGCUCAUGUACGAAAGCGUGGGUAGCAAACAGGAUUAGAUACCCUGGUAGUCCACGCCCUAAACGAUGAACACUAGUCGUCGUGAUGCUUGUCAUUGCGGUGAUGCACUUAACAGAUUAAGUGUUCCGCCUGGGGAGUACGGUCGCAAGAUUAAAACUCAAAGGAAUAGACGGGGACCCGCACAAGUGGUGGAGCAUGUGGUUUAAUUCGAAGAUACGCGAAAAACCUUACCUGGCCUUGACAUUGAUAGAAUCUGCUAGAGAUAGCGGAGUGCCCUUCGGGGAGCUUGAAAACAGGUGCUGCACGGCUGUCGUCAGCUCGUGUCGUGAGAUGUUGGGUUAAGUCCCGCAACGAGCGCAACCCUCGUCCUUAGUUGCCAGCAGGUUAAGCUGGGCACUCUAGGGAGACUGCCUUCGUAAGGAGGAGGAAGGUGAGGACGACGUCAAGUCAUCAUGGCCCUUACGGCCAGGGCUACACACGUGCUACAAUGGGGCGUACAGAGUGUUGCAAUACCGCGAGGUGGAGCCAAUCACUUAAAGCGUCUCUCAGUUCGGAUUGUUCUCUGCAACUCGAGAGCAUGAAGUCGGAAUCGCUAGUAAUCGCGGAUCAGCAUGUCGCGGUGAAUACGUUCCCGGGUCUUGUACACACCGCCCGUCACACCAUGGGAGUGGAAUCUGGCAGAAGUAGGUAGCCUAACCGCAAGGAGGGCGCUACCACGCU
RNAcentral lists this ribosomal RNA (792 nucleotides) under uncultured bacterium. RNAcentral's name for it is "bacterial SSU rRNA". It matches the Rfam family "Bacterial small subunit ribosomal RNA", at positions 672 to 1463 of the family's 1533-position model. The record is from RNAcentral.